Molecule: unclassified non-coding RNA, 286 nt
Filed under: uncultured Phycisphaeraceae bacterium
Lineage: Bacteria; Pseudomonadati; Planctomycetota; Phycisphaerae; Phycisphaerales; Phycisphaeraceae
Description: contains 16S-23S intergenic spacer region
Rfam family: Bacterial small subunit ribosomal RNA
Source: RNAcentral
UCACACAAGCGGUGGAGCAUGUGGCUUAAUUCGAAGCAACGCGAAGAACCUUAUCCAAGGCUUGACAUGCACGGAUUAACUCCCUGAAAGGGGAGCCACGCCCUCACGGGUGGAACGUGCACAGGUGCUGCAUGGCUGUCGUCAGCUCGUGCUGUGAAGUGUCGGGUUAAGUCCCUUAACGAGCGAAACCCCUGCCUCUAGUUGCCAUCGGGUCAUGCCGGGCACUCUAGCGGGACUGCCGGUGUCAAACCGGAGGAAGGUGGGGAUGACGUACUGGAAGCAAGCU